UCCGUACAUAGGGUUCACGCAUGUGCACUGAACAGUUAACGUAAUCAGGAUUUGGGUGAAUCACCCGAGACAGGUUAGAAGCAGUCUGUUCGACGUGUGGCGAAGCACGCAAACGCAAUCCGUCAAAGUUACGAGUUUUGCGACCCCGAACCAAUCUGCCAGUAUUCCAGGGUAACGCAGUCUAGGUAGACGACACUCAUCGACAAGACUCUCGGUCCGUAUGCCGUCUCACCUCUUCAACUAGGACGCACCAACCACAAGGUGAACCCAACCGAACCAGCUAACAAGAUGUGCCAGCCUCCACGACAGCAGGAGAAACGACGCCAGCACGGGCGACGCCAAGCACAGCAAGCAAAACAAGCACCUGAAAGACGGCAAGAAUAAAAGACGACAACCAUGUUUCUUCGUAUAAGACAAACGGAACGACAGCUC
Molecule: long non-coding RNA, 432 nt
Organism: Ornithodoros turicata
Lineage: Eukaryota; Metazoa; Arthropoda; Arachnida; Ixodida; Argasidae
Exons: 4
Source: RefSeq, a predicted model, not a curated record